UACAACAAUGUUUUGAUAUGGGUCGUUGCAUUAGAAUUAUUUUUGGCAACGUGCGCCAAAUUCCCACAAUCAUCUUUUUCCCUCUAUUUUUUUUCAUGAAAUUUUAAAACCUUUACAAAAUCUUUUCCGAUUUCAAUACUCCUAACUUUUCCUAAAACAAGGGAAAAAAAUAAGAUCUAUACACAGUAUAGGUAACUGAAAAUGAAAAACCCUAAGAGUUCACGAAAAAUUCUAAAUUCCCAAAUCUUUCAAUUGCUAAGAGGAAGAGGAAGAAUUCACGAAAUUUCUUUCAAUAUUAUUCCAAAACUCUUCCUGAAUUUAUGAAUAUCUGCACAAUUCAUGUCUUAAACGCAACAAACAGGUGAAAUUCUUCAAGAAAACCGAAGAAAAGAGGCGAAAUUCGGAUUAUCAAUCGAGCUUUAAAAGGGAUUGAUGUUGCUGGUGCUGUAGGGACUGAUGCUGCUGGUGCUGUUGGGACUGAUGUUGUUGGUGCUGUAGGGACUGAUGGUGCUGGUGUUGCAUAGAUGAAGAAUGGCGACCAUGAGCUAAUCUGUUGUUGAUGAUCCAUACAUUUGUUGUUUGGAUCCAUCUUUGCAGUAGCCUUGACGGUGAAUAAUGAAACAACUGGAGGAGAUCAUCAAACGUAGACGUCUCACUAUACACACUAUCAGCCAGAUUUAGCUAGCUAUAUUAUAGUGAUGCGGUUUUUGGUGGUUAGAAGGAAAAUGAUCUAUAUGUACUUAUUAGAAGUUUUUGUUGGUACUAAAACAAAUAAUUAUUAGUUGGGUUUGAUUAAGUACAUUAAUUUUAGUUAAUUAGGAUUUUUCAUGUAUACUCUUAAUUUAAUUAGUUUUGGAAAUUAUAAUACAAACAUAACAAUUAUUUUUGGCA
Molecule: long non-coding RNA, 891 nt
Organism: Beta vulgaris subsp. vulgaris (sugar beet)
Lineage: Eukaryota; Viridiplantae; Streptophyta; Magnoliopsida; Caryophyllales; Amaranthaceae
Exons: 3
Source: RefSeq, a predicted model, not a curated record